RNAcentral lists this ribosomal RNA (514 nucleotides) under uncultured bacterium. Its description in RNAcentral is "bacterial SSU rRNA". It matches the Rfam family "Bacterial small subunit ribosomal RNA", at positions 341 to 873 of the family's 1533-position model. The record is from RNAcentral.
ACGGGAGGCAGCAGUGGGGAAUAUUGGACAAUGGGCGAAAGCCUGAUCCAGCCAUGCCGCGUGAAUGAAGAAGGCCUUAGGGUUGUAAAAUUCUUUCGAUGGUGAAGAUAAUGACGGUAACCAUUAAAGAAGCCCCGGCUAAUUUCGUGCCAGCAGCCGCGGUAAUACGAAAGGGGCUAGCGUUGUUCGGAAUUACUGGGCGUAAAGCGCACGUAGGCGGCCAUGUAAGUUGGGGGUGAAAUCCCGGGGCUCAACCCCGGAACUGCCUCCAAAACUACAUAGCUAGAGGAUGUGAGAGGUUGGCGGAAUUCCGAGUGUAGAGGUGAAAUUCGUAGAUAUUCGGAAGAACACCAGUGGCGAAGGCGGCCAACUGGCACAUUACUGACGCUGAGGUGCGAAAGCGUGGGGAGCGAACAGGAUUAGAUACCCUGGUAGUCCACGCCGUAAACGAUGAGGGCUAGUUGUCGGGCAGCAUGCUGUUCGGUGACGCAGCUAACGCAUUAAGCCCUCCGCC